Non-coding RNA from Myodes glareolus (Bank vole), 322 nucleotides. The record is from RefSeq and is a predicted model, not a curated record. Lineage: Eukaryota; Metazoa; Chordata; Mammalia; Rodentia; Cricetidae.
AAACAUAGAAACUUAGGGAGUAAGACUGAACUGUCAGGGAGCCUGGGCCCAACCUUCCUCAGCUGACACUGAGGCUUCCUUCUGUAAGGGUCUCUCUCACAGGGGCACGGGAGAGUUCUGAGAAAGGGAGGAGCAGCCUAUUGAAGGAUCUCCCUGCAGUGAUAAGGUCAAGAGGUGAGAAGCACCGGGUGACGGUCCAAAUGCAUCAAGAGAAAGUAGAACUUCAUUGAAAUGUUUAUGGAAAAAAAAUAAACAUGAGCCAGCAAGCCAUUUGGAAACAAGAAACCAAGGAACUGUUGAACAAGACCAAGACAAGACCUAA